This 775-nucleotide ribosomal RNA is filed under the name uncultured Neocallimastigales. Its description in RNAcentral is "partial large subunit ribosomal RNA". It matches the Rfam family "Eukaryotic large subunit ribosomal RNA", at positions 26 to 628 of the family's 3401-position model. Lineage: Eukaryota; Fungi; Neocallimastigomycota; Neocallimastigomycetes; Neocallimastigales. The record is from RNAcentral.
CGUCUAUAUACGUAUAGCAUAUCAAUAAGCGGAGGAAAAGAAACUAACUAGGAUUCCCUCAGUAACGGCGAGUGAAGCGGGAAGAGCUCAAAUUUGAAAUCUUCAAGGUUUUACCUUGACGAAUUGUAGUUUAAAGAAGUGUUUUCUGUUGGAGUUUUGGUAAAAGUUCUUUGGAAUAGGACAUCAUAGAGGGUGAGAAUCCCGUAUUUGACCAUUAUUUCCAACUUUGUGAUACACUUUCAAAGAGUCGGAUUAGUUUGGGAAUGCAGUCCAAAAUGGGUGGUAAAUUUCAUCUAAAGCUAAAUAUUGGCGAGAGACCGAUAGCGAACAAGUACCGUGAGGGAAAGAUGAAAAGAACUUUGAAAAGAGAGUUAAACAGUACGUGAAAUUGUCAAAAGGGAAGCGUUUGACACCAGUGUUGUUUUCUCGAAAAUCAAUUAAAAAUGGCGGGAUUUUGUGUUGUAUUGACUUUAUCAGCUUUCUGCACUUUUUUCCUAUCUUUUUUAAUGCACUUUUCGUUUAACAAGUCAACAUCAGUUUCUUUUGUUGUAAAAGGGUCAUUGGAAGGUGGCUUUCUUUUCGGAGAAAGUGUUUAUAGCCUUUGACUUCUGCAAUCGGAGAGAUUGAGGUCUGCAGCGUAGAUCCUUCGGGGUUAGAUACAUUUGUGCUAAGUUAUAGCCUUUCAUAGACAACUUGUUGACUAUGAUCAGUCAUGUAGCUUACUCGCUUAUGCUAUUUUACCUACGCUUAGGAUGUUGACGAUCAGCUGAGCGCG